This 696-nucleotide ribosomal RNA is filed under the name uncultured bacterium. RNAcentral describes it as "bacterial SSU rRNA". It matches the Rfam family "Bacterial small subunit ribosomal RNA", at positions 32 to 713 of the family's 1533-position model. The record is from RNAcentral.
CCCGCUAGCGGGAUGCUUUACACAUGACAAGUCGAACGGCAGCACGAGAUAAGCUUGCUUAUCUUGGUGGCGAGUGGCGAACGGGUGAGUAAUGUAUCGGAACGUGCCCAGUAGCGGGGGAUAACUACGCGAAAGCGUGGCUAAUACCGCAUACGCCCUACGGGGGAAAGGGGGGAUCCUUCGGGACCUCUCACUAUUGGAGCGGCCGAUAUCAGAUUAGCUAGUUGGUGGGGUAAUGGCCUACCAAGGCCGCGAUCUGUAGCUGGUUUGAGAGGACGACCAGCCACACUGGGACUGAGACACGGCCCAGACUCCUACGGGAGGCAGCAGUGGGGAAUUUUGGACAAUGGGGGCAACCCUGAUCCAGCCAUCCCGCGUGUGCGAUGAAGGCCUUCGGGUUGUAAAGCACUUUUGGCAGGGAAGAAAAGGCACGGGCUAAUAUCCUGUGUCGCUGACGGUACCUGCAGAAUAAGCACCGGCUAACUACGUGCCAGCAGCCGCGGUAAUACGUAGGGUGCAAGCGUUAAUCGGAAUUACUGGGCGUAAAGCGUGCGUCGGCGGUUUGGCAAGAAAGGUGUGAAAUCCCAGAGCUUAACUUUGGAACUGCACUUUUAACUGCCAGGCUAGAGUAUGUCAGAGGGGGGUAGAAUUCCGCGUGUAGCAGUGAAAUGCGUAGAGAUGCGGAGGAAUACCGAU